GACGAACGCUGGCGGCGUGCUUAACACAUGCAAGUCGAACGAUGAAGCCCAGCUUGCUGGGUGGAAGAGUGGCGAACGGGUGAGUAACACGUGAGUAACCUGCCCCUGACUCUGGGAUAAGCGCUAGAAAUGGCGUCUAAUACUGGAUAUGACCUAUCACCGCAUGGUGUGUGGGUGGAAAGAUGUAUCGAUUGGGGAUGGACUCGCGGCCUAUCAGCUUGUUGGUGAGGUAAUGGCUCACCAAGGCGACGACGGGUAGCGGGCCUGGGAGGGUGACCGGCCACACUGGGACUGAGACACGGCCCAGACUCCUACGGGAGGCAGCAGUGGGGAAUAUUGCACAAUGGGCGCAAGCCUGAUGCAGCAACGCCGCGUGAGGGAUGACGGCCUUCGGGUUGUAAACCUCUUUUAGUAGGGAAGAAGCGAGAGUGACGGUACCUGCAGAAAAAGCACCGGCUAACUACGUGCCAGCAGCCGCCGUAA
Molecule: ribosomal RNA, 483 nt
Filed under: uncultured bacterium
Lineage: Bacteria
Description: partial 16S ribosomal RNA
Rfam family: Bacterial small subunit ribosomal RNA
Source: RNAcentral